AGCGAACGCUGGCGGCAGGCCUAACACAUGCAAGUCGAACGGAUCCUUCGGGAUUAGUGGCGGACGGGUGAGUAACACGUGGGAACGUGCCCUUUGGUUCGGAACAACUCAGGGAAACUUGAGCUAAUACCGGGUGUGCCCUUCGGGGGAAAGAUUUAUCGCCAUUGGAGCGGCCCGCGUCUGAUUAGCUAGUUGGUGAGGUAAAGGCUCACCAAGGCGACGAUCAGUAGCUGGUCUGAGAGGAUGAUCAGCCACAUUGUGACUGAGACACGGCCCAAACUCCUACGGGAGGCAGCAGUGGGGAAUCUUGCGCAAUGGGCGAAAGCCUGACGCAGCCAUGCCGCGUGAAUGAUGAAGGUCUUAGGAUUGUAAAAUUCUUUCACCGGGGACGAUAAUGACGGUACCCGGAGAAGAAGCCCCGGCUAACUUCGUGCCAGCAGCCGCGGUAA
RNAcentral lists this ribosomal RNA (449 nucleotides) under uncultured bacterium. Its description in RNAcentral is "partial 16S ribosomal RNA". It matches the Rfam family "Bacterial small subunit ribosomal RNA", at positions 29 to 523 of the family's 1533-position model. The record is from RNAcentral.